RNAcentral lists this ribosomal RNA (467 nucleotides) under uncultured bacterium. RNAcentral's name for it is "partial 16S ribosomal RNA". It matches the Rfam family "Bacterial small subunit ribosomal RNA", at positions 28 to 506 of the family's 1533-position model. The record is from RNAcentral.
GACGAACGCUGGCGGCGUGCUUAACACAUGCAAGUCGAACGGAAAGGCCCUGCUUUUGUGGGGUGCUCGAGUGGCGAACGGGUGAGUAACACGUGAGUAACCUGCCCUUGACUUUGGGAUAACUUCAGGAAACUGGGGCUAAUACCGGAUAGGAGCUCCUGCUGCAUGGUGGGGGUUGGAAAGUUUCGGCGGUUGGGGAUGGACUCGCGGCUUAUCAGCUUGUUGGUGGGGUAGUGGCUUACCAAGGCUUUGACGGGUAGCCGGCCUGGGAGGGUGACCGGCCACAUUGGGACUGAGAUACGGCCCAGACUCCUACGGGAGGCAGCGGUGGGGAAUAUUGCACAAUGGGCGGAGGCCGGAUGCAGCGACGCCGCGUGCGGGAUGACGGCCUUCGGGUUGGAAACCGCUUUCGCCUGUGACGAAGCGUGAGGGACGGGAAUGGGUAAAGAAGCACCGGCUAACUACGU